AGACAGCAGCCGCCGCGGUAAUACGUAGGGUGCAAGCGUUAUCCGGAAUUAUUGGGCGUAAAGAGCUCGUAGGCGGUUUGUCGCGUCUGCUGUGAAAACUGGAGGCUCAACCUCCAGCCUGCAGUGGGUACGGGCAGACUAGAGUGCGGUAGGGGAGAUUGGAAUUCCUGGUGUAGCGGUGGAAUGCGCAGAUAUCAGGAGGAACACCGAUGGCGAAGGCAGAUCUCUGGGCCGUAACUGUCGCUGAGGAGCGAAAGCGUGGGGAGCGAACAGGAUUAGAUACCCGAGUAGUCCCUGUCUCUUAUAA
This 307-nucleotide ribosomal RNA is filed under the name uncultured bacterium. RNAcentral's name for it is "partial 16S ribosomal RNA". It matches the Rfam family "Bacterial small subunit ribosomal RNA", at positions 506 to 809 of the family's 1533-position model. The record is from RNAcentral.